CAUGCAGUCGGACGGUAUACAGGUCUUCGGACCUGUAGAGAGUGGCGAACGGGUGAGUAACGCGUAGGUGAUCUACCUUCAGGUGGGGGACAACCCAGGGAAACUUGGGCUAAUACCGCAUGUGGCAGCGAUGCUAAAGCCGGCCUCUAUUUAUAAGCUGGUGCCUGGAGCUGAGCCUGCGUCUGAUUAGCUAGUUGGUGGGGUAACGGCCUACCGAGGCGAUGAUAAGUAGGCGGCUUUAACGAGUGGUCGCCCACACUGGGAUUGAGAUACGGCCCAGACUCCUACGGGAGGCAGCAGUCGAGGAUAGUCUACAAUGGUCGAGAGACUGAUAGUGCGACGCCGCGUGGACGAAGAAGCAUUUCGGUGUGUAAAGUUCUUUUCUAUGGGAGCAGCGCAUAGCUGGUGAACAGUCAUUUAUGCGGGAUAUUACUAUAGGAAUAAGCCACGGCUAACUCCGUGCCAGCAGCCGCGGUAAUACGGGGGUGGCGAGCGUUGUCCGGAAUUACUAGGCGUAAAGGGCAGGUAGGCGGUUGUAUAAGUUAAUUGUUAAAUACCCAUGCUCACCACGGGAGGAGCAGUUGAUACUGUAUAACUGGAAGCGAGUGGGGGAAGACGGAAUUCCCGGUGUAGCGGUGGAAUGCGCAGAGAUCGGGAGGAACACCAAAGGCGGAGGCAGUCUUCUACGCUUGUCUUGACGCUAAACUGCGAAGGUGCGGGUAUCAAACAGGAUUAGAUACCCUGGUAGUCCGCACAGUAAACGAUAAUCACUAGGUGUCGGUGGGAUAGACCUGUCGGUGCCGCAGCUAACGCGGUAAGUGAUUCGCCUGGGGAGUACGAUCGCAAGGUUGAAACUCAAAGGAAUUGACGGGGGCCCGCA
This 880-nucleotide ribosomal RNA is filed under the name uncultured bacterium. RNAcentral's name for it is "bacterial SSU rRNA". It matches the Rfam family "Bacterial small subunit ribosomal RNA", at positions 54 to 925 of the family's 1533-position model. The record is from RNAcentral.